CCUACAUGAAGCUGGAGUUGCUAGUAAUCGCGAAUCAGCAUGUCGCGGUGAAUACGUUCCCGGGCCUUGUACACACCGCCCGUCACACCAUGAGAGUUGGCAAUACCCAACGUACGUGAUCUAACCCGCGAGGGAGGAAGCGUCCUAAGGUAGGGUCAGCGAUUGGGGUGAAGUCGUAACAAGGUAAC
Molecule: ribosomal RNA, 188 nt
Filed under: uncultured bacterium
Lineage: Bacteria
Description: partial 16S ribosomal RNA
Rfam family: Bacterial small subunit ribosomal RNA
Source: RNAcentral